RNAcentral lists this small RNA (452 nucleotides) under Pongo abelii (Sumatran orangutan). Its description in RNAcentral is "retained intron". Lineage: Eukaryota; Metazoa; Chordata; Mammalia; Primates; Hominidae. The record is from RNAcentral.
GAAGGACAGUACAGAUAAAGUAGCUGGGAUGCUGAAUUAGAAACAGAUAUGCAAAAUGCAAGUACAUUUUAUGUUUUAUGCCUACCUUCAAUUCAGUUUCUUAAUUUAUAAUAGAUUGCCAGAAGGGCAAAUGCAGGCACAGUUGGAAAUAGUAGACUGACCUGAACUGACAUCAAAUUCUGUAAGUCUCUAUACAUUAUAGAGCUGGAGUUGAAGGAAUAUUGUGGAGGUCAUUAACAUAGAAUUUUAUUGAUGUGUAAUGUAUUUAUAAGGACCAACUCUGAAUUAACACAAUUUUCUUUUUCAGAGUCCUUAUAGGACAGUUCUUCGAGAUAAUGCAAUACCAACAAUAUUUGAUCUUACCAGUCAUUUGAACAACCCACAUAGUAGACACAGAAAACGAAUAAAAGAACUGAGUGAAGAUGAAAUCAGGACACUGAAACAGAAAAAAA